GUGCUCACUUCAGCAGCACAUAUUCUAAAACCGUAGAAACAGAGAAGAGUAGCAUGGCCACUGCACAAGGAGGACACAAUUUGUAAAGCAUUCCAUUUUUUA
This 102-nucleotide small nuclear RNA is filed under the name Tursiops truncatus (common bottlenose dolphin). The record is from RNAcentral. RNAcentral also lists the same sequence under 1 other name. Lineage: Eukaryota; Metazoa; Chordata; Mammalia; Artiodactyla; Delphinidae.